Molecule: ribosomal RNA, 416 nt
Filed under: uncultured bacterium
Lineage: Bacteria
Description: bacterial SSU rRNA
Rfam family: Bacterial small subunit ribosomal RNA
Source: RNAcentral
AACGAACGCUGGCGGCAUGCCUAACACAUGCAAGUCGAACGAAGCCUUCGGGCUUAGUGGCGCACGGGUGCGUAACACGUGGGAAUCUGCCCUUCGGUUCGGAAUAACAGUUAGAAAUGACUGCUAAUACCGGAUGAUGACGAAAGUCCAAAGAUUUAUCGCCGAAGGAUGAGCCCGCGUAGGAUUAGGUAGUUGGUGGGGUAAUGGCCCACCAAGCCGACGAUCCUUAGCUGGUCUGAGAGGAUGAUCAGCCACACUGGAACUGAGACACGGUCCAGACUCCUACGGGAGGCAGCAGUGGGGAAUAUUGCGCAAUGGGCGAAAGCCUGACGCAGCCACGCCGCGUGAGCGAUGAAGGCCUUCGGGUCGUAAGACUCUGUGGGAGGAGAAGAAUAAAGACCUGUGAAGAGCAGGCC